RNAcentral lists this ribosomal RNA (453 nucleotides) under uncultured bacterium. RNAcentral's name for it is "bacterial SSU rRNA". It matches the Rfam family "Bacterial small subunit ribosomal RNA", at positions 340 to 784 of the family's 1533-position model. The record is from RNAcentral.
UACGGGAGGCAGCAGUGGGGAAUAUUGCACAAUGGGCGCAAGCCUGAUGCAGCCAUGCCGCGUGUAUGAAGAAGGCCUUCGGGUUGUAAAGUACUUUCAGUCGUGAGGAGGGUGUUAAGGUUAAUAACCUUAGCAAUUGACGUUAGCGACAGAAGAAGCACCGGCUAACUCCGUGCCAGCAGCCGCGGUAAUACGGAGGGUGCGAGCGUUAAUCGGAAUUACUGGGCGUAAAGGGCACGCAGGCGGUUAAUUAAGUUGGAUGUGAAAUCCCCGGGCUUAACCUGGGAAUGGCAUUCAAGACUGGUUAGCUAGAGUCUUGUAGAGGGGGUAGAAUUCCAUGUGUAGCGGUGAAAUGCGUAGAGAUGUGGAGGAAUACCGGUGGGCGAAGGCGGCCCCUGGGACAAAGACUGACGCUCAUGUGCGAAAGCGUGGGGAGCAAACAGGGAUUAGAUA